AGACGGAGGGCGCGAGCGUUGUUCGGAAUCACUGGGCGUAAAGCGCGCGCAGGCGGGUGGGGAAGUCGGAAGUGAAAGGCCGGGGCUCAACCCCGGAGGCGCUUCCGAUACUCUCUGUCUAGGGACCGGUAGAGGCCGGUGGAACUCCCGGUGUAGCGGUGGAAUGCGUAGAUAUCGGGAAGAACACCAGUGGCGAAGGCGGCCGGCUGGGCCGGAGAUUCUUUAAUGAAUCGAUCCGACGCUGAGGCGCGAAAGCGUGGGGAGCAAACAGGAUUAGAUACCCUGGUAGUCCACGCCGUAAACGAUGGGCGCUAGGUGGCGGGGAGAGCGACCCCCUCGGUGCCGCAGCUAACGCGAUAAGCGCCCCGCCUGGGGAGUACGGCCGCAAGGCUGAA
Molecule: ribosomal RNA, 395 nt
Filed under: uncultured bacterium
Lineage: Bacteria
Description: bacterial SSU rRNA
Rfam family: Bacterial small subunit ribosomal RNA
Source: RNAcentral